Molecule: ribosomal RNA, 465 nt
Filed under: uncultured Klebsiella sp.
Lineage: Bacteria; Pseudomonadati; Pseudomonadota; Gammaproteobacteria; Enterobacterales; Enterobacteriaceae
Description: bacterial SSU rRNA
Rfam family: Bacterial small subunit ribosomal RNA
Source: RNAcentral
CCUACGGGGGGCUGCAGUGGGGAAUAUUGCACAAUGGGCGCAAGCCUGAUGCAGCCAUGCCGCGUGUGUGAAGAAGGCCUUCGGGUUGUAAAGCACUUUCAGCGGGGAGGAAGGCGUUAAGGUUAAUAACCUUGUCGAUUGACGUUACCCGCAGAAGAAGCACCGGCUAACUCCGUGCCAGCAGCCGCGGUAAUACGGAGGGUGCAAGCGUUAAUCGGAAUUACUGGGCGUAAAGCGCACGCAGGCGGUCUGUCAAGUCGGAUGUGAAAUCCCCGGGCUCAACCUGGGAACUGCAUUCGAAACUGGCAGGCUAGAGUCUUGUAGAGGGGGGGAGAAUUCCAGGUGUAGCGGUGAAAUGCGUAGAGAUCUGGAGGAAUACCGGUGGCGAAGGCGGCCCCCUGGACAAAGACUGACGCUCAGGUGCGAAAGCGUGGGGAGCAAACAGGAUUAGAUACCCCGGUAGUC